This 254-nucleotide ribosomal RNA is filed under the name uncultured bacterium. Its description in RNAcentral is "partial 16S ribosomal RNA". It matches the Rfam family "Bacterial small subunit ribosomal RNA", at positions 524 to 777 of the family's 1533-position model. The record is from RNAcentral.
UACGUAGGAGACGAGCGUUGUCCGGAAUCACUGGGCGUAAAGGGCGCGUAGGCGGCUCAUGAAGGCUGUGGUGAAAGUCCGGGGCUCAACCUCGGAUCGGCCGUGGCGACUCGUGGGCUGGAGCACUGUAGAGGCGGGUGGAAUUCCGGGUGUAGCGGUGGAAUGCGUAGAGAUCCGGAAGAACACCAGUGGCGAAGGCGGCGACCUGGUCCUUUACUGACGCUGAGGCGCGAAAGCGUGGGAGGCAAACAGGG